UACGAAGGGGGGCUAGCGUUGCUCGGAAUGACUGGGCGUAAAGGGCGCGUAGGCGGAUGGUACAGUCAGAUGUGAAAUUCCUGGGCUUAACCUGGGGGCUGCAUUUGAUACGUGUUGUCUAGAGUGAGGAAGAGGGUCGUGGAAUUCCCAGUGUAGAGGUGAAAUUCGUAGAUAUUGGGAAGAACACCGGUGGCGAAGGCGGCGACCUGGUCCUUUACUGACGCUGAGGCGCGAAAGCGUGGGGAGCAAACAGG
This 254-nucleotide ribosomal RNA is filed under the name uncultured bacterium. RNAcentral describes it as "partial 16S ribosomal RNA". It matches the Rfam family "Bacterial small subunit ribosomal RNA", at positions 524 to 776 of the family's 1533-position model. The record is from RNAcentral.